GUUCCUUGUAAUUGCGGGACCCCAUGCCCGGAAAAUGGUCGGCAUAUGGCUUUUUACAUCUGCUGCUUGGGUCUUCAGUAUGGUUGUGCUUGGUGGUAUCACACGGUUGACACGUUCUGGUCUAUCAAUGACGGACUGGAAAUUCACUGGGAGCCUCCCUCCUCUAACAGAUGAAGAUUGGUUGGUUGAAUUUGAGAAGUACAAGCAAUCCCCAGAAUACAAACGUGUGAACAAGGGGAUGAACAUCGAGGAUUUCAAGUUCAUAUAUUGGAUGGAAUAUGCACACAGAAUGUGGGGAAGGGCCCUUGGUAUAAUGUUUGCACUCCCAUUCUCAUAUUUUCUCCGUAAGGGAUACAUAACAGUAAGACUUGGAUUUAGACUCUCUGGACUCUUUGCUCUUGGUGCUGGACAGGGUCUCAUAGGUUGGUGGAUGGUGAAGAGUGGUUUAGAGGAGCCUGCAUCUGAGUAUGUUGAACCAAGAGUAAGCCCCUACCGUCUUGCAGCUCAUCUUACCUCUGC
RNAcentral lists this unclassified non-coding RNA (519 nucleotides) under Hevea brasiliensis (rubber tree). Lineage: Eukaryota; Viridiplantae; Streptophyta; Magnoliopsida; Malpighiales; Euphorbiaceae. The record is from RNAcentral.